ACCAUAAGGGAGGUGCCAACCACAAGCUCAAGGACUGUCGUAUACUGAGAAAGCAUUUCGACGGUCUGGGGUUCAAAAAAGAUACUGUUGAUGCAAAACUGAUCUGCAAACACAAAGGGCUAAUACCCGAUUCAAACGUUAAGGCAUGCCAGCCGAUUUGACCUUACUAUCGGCAAAGGUGAUAACUCGAAUACUUUAGUCCUGACAACAGCGAUGCGCCCGGAUGUCACGGCUAAGAGGUACUCAUGCGGAACUUGAGAACACGCC
Molecule: long non-coding RNA, 267 nt
Filed under: Sorghum bicolor (sorghum)
Lineage: Eukaryota; Viridiplantae; Streptophyta; Magnoliopsida; Poales; Poaceae
Description: long non-coding RNA (SBIC_LNC010884)
Source: RNAcentral